This is a non-coding RNA of Paramuricea clavata, 574 nucleotides long. The record is from the annotation of a GenBank genome assembly. NCBI's taxonomy places the organism in Eukaryota, Metazoa, Cnidaria, Anthozoa, Malacalcyonacea, Plexauridae.
UCCGAACCUCGAGACCUUCCAGAUCUUCCACCAGUACUGCCACCAAGUUCAUCAUACCCAAAUGCAAAACAACCACCCACCAACGAUCCUUCUUCAUACGAACAACCCGUGUCUGGAACAUUCUAGCGGAAGAACUAAAACUGGAGACUUGUGGUCUCUCGACAUUCAAGUCUAUUCUUUAUGAAUAUUAUAUGACUUCAUUAAGAACUUCUUACAACGUUGACGAUCCUUGUUCGUACAAAACAAUCUGUCUAAAGUGUAAUUGUGUUCGUAGUCUUACCAAUCCGAUCUCGUGUUGCAUGUAGAUAUUGUGUCUUCGUCUGUUGCAUGUUUUGGAAAGAGUUAGUUCGUUAUCCUCAAGCAGUAUUCCUUGUUAUAUCGUUUCUCUCGUUAUUAUAUGAGUUUAAAAGUUGGUUUAGUGUCAAGUAGUAUCUUAUGACUUGCCUCUGAGGACAAGGAAACAACUCGUUCCUAUAUUAUCAUUAUGUUGUUAAGUUUUAAAGGGGCUGCAGUAAUUGGCUUGCGCUGUUGCAGAUUCCCUGCCAUGUGCUAAUAAUUAAUAUUUGUACAAGGG